Molecule: long non-coding RNA, 1249 nt
Organism: Neofelis nebulosa (Clouded leopard)
Lineage: Eukaryota; Metazoa; Chordata; Mammalia; Carnivora; Felidae
Exons: 3
Source: RefSeq, a predicted model, not a curated record
GUCGGUAUGCAUGCUGCGCCUCUGCUUUGGUAAAACCUCUUUGAAGAAUCCCUAACUUUGUGAGAAGGCUCCCUGGCUGCAGCAAGGUCUACUUCUACAGAAUUUCUAUCAUUUCUUUGCAGCUCUGGCAAGUAAGGCCGUGGGAUCUGGAUCUGAGUGUCUGAGAUCUGAGACACUCAGCAAAGGAAGUCUCCACAGGCGGUGGCAGCUCUGGAAUUUCCCACAGCCACUCCUCCAACAAGCUUUGUUGAUGGUGUUGCCUCUGUUCGCCUGCCUAGGAUUUAAGGCAAAAGAAGCCCACAGUUCAGAGCAGAUACAGCUAAAUUAAACUUCUGUAUGGCCAAAUAGCCCAGUGAAAACAAAAUCAGAGAAAACUGAGCUCCAGGUCUAAAUUAAAACAAAUGAAGAUUGAUGGUGAAUGUAGCAAAAAUGGGUAAAUCAUUUAUCUAUCUAUCUAUCGCCUAUUUAUCUAUUUUUAAUUCCAGCAUAAUUAACAUAUAGUGUUACAUUAGUUUCAGGUGUACAAUAUAGUGAUUCAGCAAUUCUGUACAUUACUCAGUGUUCAUCAUGGUAAGUGUACUCUUAAUCCCCUUCACCUAUUUCACCCAUGUCCCCUCUGUUACCAUCAGUUUGUUCUCUGUAGUUAAGAGUUUGUUUUUAAGUUUGUCUUUUUUUCUUCGCUUGCUUGUUUUGUUUCUUAAAUUCCAGGUAUGAAUGAAAUCAUAUGGUAUUUGUUUUCUUUGACUUCUUUCACUUAGCAUUAUACCCUUUAGAUCCAUCCGUGUUGUUGCAAAUGGCAAGAUUUCAUUCUUUUUUAUGGCUCAGUAACAUUCUCAAAAUCUUAAAAACACAUUGUUAAGUAAAAAAAGCAAAUUGCAGAAGGCGAUAUGCAAUAUGGUGCUACUUUUUAUAAAAGGUGAAAAUGUUCAUUUAUGUAGAUUUUGUUUAGAAAUGCAUACAUAUAUUCUCAAGCUAUAAAAACAUGCAUGGGAUGAUAAACACCAAAUUCAUGGUAGUGGUUACUUGAAGGGAAGGAUGAUGGACAGUGGGAUUGGGGGAGGUAGUGCCAGGAAUUUUGUCUGCAUCUGAAAUAUUUUAAUUGUGUAAAAAAAUUCUGACGAAAGUGCUCAGGCAAAUAAGGAAAAUGUUAAAAUUUGACUUGGCUGUAUAAUGGGCACCUGGAAGUUCAUUCUAUGGUUCCUCAUAAUUUUUUUAUAUUCUGGAUGCACCUCACUAUUCACACAAAAGG